Long non-coding RNA from Gopherus flavomarginatus (Mexican gopher tortoise), 703 nucleotides. RefSeq lists it as uncharacterized. NCBI's taxonomy places the organism in Eukaryota, Metazoa, Chordata, Testudines, Testudinidae. The transcript is spliced from 3 exons. The record is from RefSeq and is a predicted model, not a curated record.
GUCAAGCAAUAGAUAGAAGGAAGUCAAUACUACCCUCUUUGCUCCCUGAAAUCACCCUUAUCAGCCAGGAGCUUUUUCUCAGCCUGACAGAAGUACCCUCCCAGCCCUCCCAAGCCACUGUCCCACACAGUGAAGCCAUGGAAGAGACCUCUGCUGCAAAUUUUUCAAGUCUCCCUCCUCCAUCCUGAAGGCUAUCUCAGAUAAGGUGGCGGGGAAAAAAAAGACGUGAGACAAAAUGUUCUCCAAAAUCAUGGAAGUGAUCCAAAGUGAAAGAGCUCAUUUGAACGAGUGGAAGGACGUGGUACCAAAGUACAGGAAAGAUGCCAGUGAACGUGAGGAGAGGAGAGACGCUCGAGAUGAGAUGUGGCGGCAGGAAGAUCAGAGGAGGCAUGAUGCAACGCUGGGGCUGCCGCGUGAUCAAAUGGACAUGCUCUGGUGUCUGGUGGAGCUUCAGGAACAGCAGCAGGAUCACAGAGUGCCACUGCAGCCCCUGUAUAACCACCCUCCCCUCUCACCAUGUUCCUUAGCCUCCUCACCCACCAGAUGACUAAAAACGCGUGGGGGGGGAGGCUCCGUGCUCCUGCCCAUUCCACCCCCAUGGACAGCCCAACCAAAAGGCUGUCAUUAUUUUGAAAUUUUUUUAGUAGCCUUUUCCUUCCGUCCUAUCCUCCUCCCAAACCCCACUCGGGCUACCUUGUCAGUU